AACGAACGCUGGCGGCAUGCCUAACACAUGCAAGUCGAACGAUGGCUUCGGCCAUAGUGGCGCACGGGUGAGUAACGCGUGGGAACCUGCCUUUUGGUUUGGGAUAACUCCGGGGAACUGGAGCUAAUACCGGAUGAGCCCGAGCAAUCGGGGAAAGAUUUAUCGCCAAAAAGAGGGGCCCCGCGUCCGAUUAGGUAGUUGGUGGGGUAACGGCCUACCAAGCCUACGAUCGGUAGCUGGUCUGAGAGGAUGAUCAGCCACACUGGGACUGAGACACGGCCCAGACUCCUACGGGAGGCAGCAGUGGGGAAUAUUGGACGAUGGGCGCAAGCCUGAUCCAGCAAUGCCGCGUGGAUGAUGAAGGCCUUAGGGUUGUAAAGUCCUUUCGGCGGGGACGAUGAUGACGGUACCCGCAGAAGAAGCCCCGGCUAACUUCGUGCCAGCAGCCGCGGUAAU
RNAcentral lists this ribosomal RNA (456 nucleotides) under uncultured bacterium. RNAcentral's name for it is "bacterial SSU rRNA". It matches the Rfam family "Bacterial small subunit ribosomal RNA", at positions 29 to 524 of the family's 1533-position model. The record is from RNAcentral.